Non-coding RNA from Peromyscus maniculatus bairdii (prairie deer mouse), 1250 nucleotides. The record is from RefSeq and is a predicted model, not a curated record. Lineage: Eukaryota; Metazoa; Chordata; Mammalia; Rodentia; Cricetidae.
AGAUCCCAGAGCCGGAGGGAAGCUGAGGUUGCUAUGGCAACUGCCGGAGCCCGCUCACCAUGGAUGCUGGAGGUGGAAGGUCGCUGGCUGCUAAUACACAGGGGGUCCCCACUAACCCAGGCUUGCUCGGUACUCUGCUGAGGACGACCUUGUGUUCCUGAUCCUCCUGCCUUUCACAUGUGGACUGCUGGGAUUACCGGUGAGCACACUCUGCUCAGUUGACAGGAUGCUGAUCCAGGAACCCAGGGCUCACCUCAGCUGUCGCCUCCCUCAUGCCCACCCUGCCUCCGGGGAGCUUCUUUUCUCCACCAGAGGGUCCGAGGAGCUGGAGUUGCAGGUCUCUAAAAGCCCAGGUUGGCCUCAAACUCAGAGUAUAGCAGAAGAUGGCCUUGAACUUCUGAUUGUGGGGUCUCAGGCUGUCCAAACAUCCAGAAAUAAGCUCGGUCUGGACGACGGAAGGAAGGGGUUCUGGCGAUUAGAUAAAAGCCAGCAUUCCUUGUGAAAACUGUUCCCAUCUACGGGAGAUUUCCCUGCACUUUGGCAGAAGGGACGGUGACUCUCCAUGGACAGAACCUGUGGCUGUAGGUCAGAGCCCAUGCCACCUCUAGGCUCCCGCAGUCUCUGUUCCCAAGUACUUGUUACACAUUUCAAAGCCCCCUCCCCCAGUCUCCGGCCCUCCCCCCUUAGCUCCCCUCCUCUACCUAAUAACUCACUGUUCAGUACCUAGUCCUGUGCUAUUCUCUUAUUCUCCCACGCUCCCUCACGAUGGAUGCCCCAUUCUCUAGCUCCUUCUGUCUCGCCAUCUCCGCUAUUCUCUCCCGCUCUCCCGCUCUCCUAGCCCUGGCCAGGUCCAGUCCGCCAGCCAUGUUCAGUCUGCUGCUUCUCUCUCUGCUCUGGGCUCUUCCAGAUGCCUCCCUCCGGCUGUCCUCUCUCUCCUGUCCACGGCGCAAACCUUCGUUGUAUCAUGCUGGCCGUUUCUUCAGCCUGCAUCCACCUUCUGAGCGCUGGAUUAGAGAUCGGCACUGCUGCACCCGAUGGCAUUCUGUGCUUUGGAUGGAGCCCAGGGCUUCCUGUGUGCUAAGCCAAGGUUCAACCAACUGAGUCACAGCAGCCCCUGGCCUGAUGACUGCAGAGGGAGUCGUCUGCCCCUUCCAUUGUGGUAGCGACUGUCCGCUUGUGGCAUGCGCUGACCCAGACAAGCUUACAAAAGAAAGAGAAUGAAUUAAAAGGGCUCUCCCUUUGUCUAGUGA